RNAcentral lists this ribosomal RNA (492 nucleotides) under uncultured bacterium. RNAcentral describes it as "partial 16S ribosomal RNA". It matches the Rfam family "Bacterial small subunit ribosomal RNA", at positions 29 to 507 of the family's 1533-position model. The record is from RNAcentral.
AGUGAACGCUGGCGGUAGGCCUAACACAUGUAAGUCGAACGGCAGCACAGUAAGAGCUUGCUCUUACGGGUGGCGAGUGGCGGACGGGUGAGGAAUACAUCGGAAUCUACUUUUUCGUGGGGGAUAACGUAGGGAAACUUACGCUAAUACCGCAUACGACCUACGGGUGAAAGCAGGGGAUCUUCGGACCUUGCGCGACUGAAUGAGCCGAUGUCGGAUUAGCUAGUUGGCGGGGUAAAGGCCCACCAAGGCGACGACCCGUAGCUGGUCUGAGAGGAUGAUCAGCCACACUGGAACUGAGACACGGCCCAGACUCCUACGGGAGGCAGCAGUGGGGAAUAUUAGACGAUGGGGGCAAGCCUGAUCCAGCCAUACCGCGUGGGUGAAGAAGGCCUUCGGGUUGGAAAGCCCUUUUGUUGGGAAAGAAAAGCAGCAGGUUAAUACCCCGCUGUUCUGACGGUACCCAAAGAAUAAGCACCGGCUAACUUCGUG